GGGCUUGUGGUUUAGUGGUAUAAUACUCCCUUAGCAUCUCUGGAUCUCCAUCUAGAAUAAUCUGGGAGUGGUCCGGGGUUCGAUUCCCCGCGAGUCCA
Non-coding RNA from Microdochium trichocladiopsis, 98 nucleotides. The record is from the annotation of a RefSeq genome assembly. NCBI's taxonomy places the organism in Eukaryota, Fungi, Ascomycota, Sordariomycetes, Xylariales, Microdochiaceae.